GGGAUUUAUAAAAUUCUUUGUAAUCUUGGUGAAUGGCAUUAGUUUUGGCUAGAUUCACUGUAAGGCCAAAGAGACAAUAAAUGGGUUUAAUUGUGGCCUCUUCCUUCAAGCUAUAUGGAAAGAGGUCAUUGAAUCAUUAUAACCCAUAUAACAGCCACAAUCAUUUGAUCAUUUUUCCUA
This 180-nucleotide non-coding RNA is filed under the name Melipona quadrifasciata. The record is from RNAcentral. Lineage: Eukaryota; Metazoa; Arthropoda; Insecta; Hymenoptera; Apidae.